UAGAAGAUGAAGCAUAUCAGGAACAACUUGAGUUCAGGAGAGGUUUUCUUUAGCCAUUAGACUGAUGCAUGCUCAAGUCUCUUCUGCGAAAAAAGUGAUUGUAAAUGCAUGCCAUGCAGUGAAAUAGCAUUCAGUAGAUUUCAGGAGAAUGAAAUCUUCACCAGUGUGGAAUGGAGAGUGUACAAAUCAAUUGAAAUCAAUAGGUGGAUCAGUGUUGAGUCACCAUGGAUGUAGUUCUGCCCAUGAAGACUGACCAUUCCGAUUUUUCAUACUAUUGAAUGGAAACUUUAUCCAGUUCAGAAACAGAUUGACAAAAACCUGGAUGGAAAGCUAAGUUUAGCCUGAUGUCUCUCCAUCCUACACUGUGAUGCCAGCUGUAAGGACAGUCUGUUCAUUGUCCCUCACGGUGCCGUGGAUAUUUAUGGUUGUCUUUCAGCAGCUAAACGUGCAGCCCAGGGAGGUGGUCCACAGUGAGAAGUCCUUCAUUUUUUGAAACACAAUAUUGACCAAAAAGCCUCCUUUUAUCGCAGGAACAGCAGCUUUGGAGG
Molecule: long non-coding RNA, 548 nt
Organism: Cygnus atratus (black swan)
Lineage: Eukaryota; Metazoa; Chordata; Aves; Anseriformes; Anatidae
Exons: 4
Source: RefSeq, a predicted model, not a curated record